ACUCCAUUAGGGUCUAUUAGAGCACACACACAAGACAUUUUUGAUUAAAGAAGCAAAGCUUAGACAUUUGCUGAUUAAAGAAGUUGGAGUAGGUUGACCAGACUUUCAACAAAGAAAAUAGGGAAAGCAUUGCAGAAAAGGGUACAAAGGAGGUAACUCUUAACUGCCGUUGAGGGAAUCAAAGGUUAUAUGAUUAUUCUGCUGAGAAUAAUAACUACAAGUUCCAGCGUUACAAAGAAACAUGAAUUUGAACAGCUUUCCUAAGGGAUUCAGCAAUGUAGGCUUGAAGAGAAAUAUUAAACCCCAGCCAAUGUUCACAACAUCCACUCUCAAGUGAUAGCUCCCAGGUCUUAUAGGCUGGUGCUAAUUUCAAGAAGACCACCUAGAACUAUUAUUAGGGAGCUGAAAUCAAGAAAAGAACUUCAUUUGAACUAGAGGAAAAUAAGGUCAAAUCAUUCUGAA
Mauremys reevesii (Reeves's turtle) is the source of this 462-nucleotide long non-coding RNA. RefSeq lists it as uncharacterized. The record is from RefSeq and is a predicted model, not a curated record. The transcript has 3 exons. NCBI's taxonomy places the organism in Eukaryota, Metazoa, Chordata, Testudines, Geoemydidae.